UACUCGAGUGGCGAACGGGUGAGUAACACGUGGGUGAUCUGCCCUGCACUCUGGGAUAAGCCUGGGAAACUGGGUCUAAUACCGGAUAGGACCAUGCUUUAGUGUGUGUGGUGGAAAGUUUUUUCGGUAUAGGAUGAGCCCGCGGCCUAUCAGCUUGUUGGUGGGGUAAUGGCCUACCAAGGCGGCUACGGGUAGCCGGACUGAGAGGUUGGUCGGCCACAUUGGGACUGAGAUACGGCCCAG
This 243-nucleotide ribosomal RNA is filed under the name uncultured Actinomycetales bacterium. RNAcentral describes it as "partial 16S ribosomal RNA". It matches the Rfam family "Bacterial small subunit ribosomal RNA", at positions 88 to 334 of the family's 1533-position model. The record is from RNAcentral. Lineage: Bacteria; Bacillati; Actinomycetota; Actinomycetes; Actinomycetales.